CCGCCACUGCCUCGCAGUUGCGAUGCGCGGACAGCGACGCGCGGUGACGCAACGCAGCGUUGCCAACUGUACGCCACUCACCGCUGCUGCGUCUACUUCGGCAACUUCAUGAUCUGCACACCACCAUACUUCGCACACCGACGUUCACCGACAGACCCACACACCGUUGAGGAACAUGUAGCUGUAGCUUCGACUCUCCGCAUUUUAAGAGGAACCAUCGUUUGUAUUAUUUAGACUUUUACGUAAUGCGGCAUUUAAACGAUUAUUUUAUUCCAUUGCGCGUAAAUGGAAAAGCUCUGAGUAAAUUAUAGGUUAGAAAUCGAUUUUGAUGGAAGGAAACCAAUGGAAAGUCCACGAUGAAAUCGCGCGACUCGUCGCUGUUGCGUUCUGGAGAUUCCAUCUCGUAUUUAUAUUCAGGCCAAAAUUUUGACAUACAGCUACUUUCUCGUGAGAUCGAACGAUACUCAGGUCGAAAACGAACGGCAACAUCUACGUGGUCAACAUCCGCCAUAAAUGGCUUCGUUUUCCAUUGGAGGUCACCGACAUGUAUAAUAUAUAUCGUGACGAAGGAGGACGAAGUCAAUAAGUUGCUCGACAUCCGAGACAGGAUUACAUCUGAUCGCUUUAAGGGAGUGUAUUCUUGUUAAUAUGGAUAUUUAUUAAAAGAGAAAUAGCAAAGAC
This is an unclassified non-coding RNA of Acromyrmex echinatior (Panamanian leafcutter ant), 681 nucleotides long. Lineage: Eukaryota; Metazoa; Arthropoda; Insecta; Hymenoptera; Formicidae. The record is from RefSeq and is a predicted model, not a curated record.